This 253-nucleotide ribosomal RNA is filed under the name uncultured Propionibacteriales bacterium. RNAcentral describes it as "partial 16S ribosomal RNA". It matches the Rfam family "Bacterial small subunit ribosomal RNA", at positions 524 to 776 of the family's 1533-position model. The record is from RNAcentral. Lineage: Bacteria; Bacillati; Actinomycetota; Actinomycetes; Propionibacteriales.
UACGUAGGGUGCAAGCGUUGUCCGGAAUUAUUGGGCGUAAAGAGCUUGUAGGCGGUUUGUCGCGUCGGAUGUGAAAACUCAGGGCUUAACCCUGAGCGUGCUUUCGAUACGGGCAGACUAGAGGAAGUUAGGGGAGAACGGAAUUCCUGGUGGAGCGGUGGAAUGCGCAGAUAUCAGGAGGAACACCAGUGGCGAAGGCGGUUCUCUGGGACUUUCCUGACGCUGAGAAGCGAAAGCAUGGGGAUCAAACAGG